UUAAGUCAGGAAAGCCUGACUGAUUCCACAGUAUUGUCAUAUUCAUGCCAGGCAGUCUCUUUUUUCCUGUAUUUCCCCUCCCUUCCUUGUGUGUCGCUCUCUCCCUAGGGGCGGGUCCCAGGCUCAGGCAGCUGCAGGUUACACACCUGGUGCCAAUCAUCAAGGCUCUGCUUAAAUACUCCAGCUGUCCAGUCACUCGCUGCCCGAUUGUUGCAGUUUCAAAGUGAAAUCCUCCUGCCAGCUCGUCGCCUCCCUGGACCCGCUCCACUCCCGGCUUUCCUCACUGCUACCCUCCACCUGCCAUCAUCAUUUCCCCACGUCUCAGCUACUCUGAAUUCUCUGGACCCCUCUACUGCUUUGCCAUAUCCUACCUAUAUAUCUAGCUUCCUCCUACCCCUUCCUACCAACCUAUCCCCAUUAAAUGAAUCUGUUCAUUGCUCAGAGUCUAUAAGUGUUCUGGUCCUAAACCCCACUGGUUAUCACACGUAUAAUGAAUUACGAUCAAGUUUAGUGUAAAUGAAAAUGUGAAUCAAUGAAUGUAGGGUAGAGAAAAAUGGCUUUCAAGUUCAUCUUCAGUUAAAUGAGACAGGACUUUACAACACUUUUAAUCUACUCAUAAAAAGAGACAAGAUUAGAAUUAAAGAUGACCCAUAUACUCUUUGCAGUCUGUGUGAUUUAAGAACAUUGUGAGACAUCCAUCAAUGUCUCUGUGCAAAAUUCAGCAAAAAAGAUUAGUCAGAUUGGAGGGGUCAGAGGGUUUCAGUGGUACAUGCAACUGGGUGUCAUCUGCAUAAAAAUGUAAAGGAUAGAUCAACGUGUUGAGGGCAUUUUUUUUUCUCUCGAGCUCUCCUCACACUGUCAGAGGAAGUCAUAAACACACUGAAAAUUGAUACAUUUGUAUCUUCAGACGGGCUAAUAAAAAUAUAAUUUGGUUUUUGUGAACAGAAAUUAAGUAUGGGGAAUAUAAGAUCUGAUCACCAUGAGGUCACAGGAGAAGAAUUCAGAAUACAGUCUGAUAACAGGACUGACGUGACAUAGUUAGAGUCGUGCAGUUGGGAAUUGCUAAAAACAGAUGUUAAAUCCAUGUCUGAAUUGGCAAAGAAAUAUUCUUUCCUUGUGUCAUAAUGCGUGUUACGUUUACUACUUAUUGACAACAUUCUUUGGGUGAUUCACGAAGCCACUGCAAUAGUGUGUUUCUCACACAAAAGAGGAAACUGUUGUUAUAAUUAAAACUCCGUCCGACAGACUGUAUUAUUGUUUUUAAUGGUUUGUUGACGUUGAUGUGACGUACACACUUUGAACUUCACUGUCUAAUUAUAUUGAAUUGCUGCCUUUA
Molecule: long non-coding RNA, 1336 nt
Organism: Solea senegalensis (Senegalese sole)
Lineage: Eukaryota; Metazoa; Chordata; Actinopteri; Pleuronectiformes; Soleidae
Exons: 2
Source: RefSeq, a predicted model, not a curated record